GAGUAUGAAGUUUGACCGUGUAAGAGAAUGGCACGAGGAAGUUUGUUGUCGUUGUCACUUCGUCAAACACCGAAGUUAGGGAAGCAGCUACGGCUCUAUUUGUCAAUUAUGAUAUCAACGAAUCGCGCUUUUAUUUGAGUAAACAAAAGUCUACCAAAAGCUGUGUUUGAAGUUUAAACGAAGGACAAAGUGUGACGAAAGACACACUUAGAAGACACAAAGACACACCGGUUCCAGCGUAAAUCUCUUCGAUGAAGUGAAUUUUAACUAAUUCAAGAAAAUGAAGUGACAGAAGAAAAA
Molecule: long non-coding RNA, 300 nt
Organism: Xenia sp. Carnegie-2017
Lineage: Eukaryota; Metazoa; Cnidaria; Anthozoa; Malacalcyonacea; Xeniidae
Exons: 2
Source: RefSeq, a predicted model, not a curated record